UGCUGAGGAUACGGUUAACGGAGCGAAAGCGACGUUCAACCGCAAAACAAGCAGAGGGGGCUUAGUGGUGGGGUGACUGCGUACCUUUUGUAUAAUGGGUCAGCGACUUAUAUUCUGUAGCAAGGUUAACCGAAUAGGGGAGCCGGAGGGAAACCGAGUCUUAAUUGGGCGUUAAGUUGCAGGGUAUAGACCCGAAACCCGGUGAUCUAGCCAUGGGCAGGUUGAAGGUUGGGUAACACUAACUGGAGGACCGAACCGACUAAUGUUGAAAAAUUAGCGGAUGACCUGUGGCUGGGGGUGAAAGGCCAAUCAAACCGGGAGAUAGCUGGUUCUCCCCGAAAGCUAUUUAGGUAGCGCCUCGUGAAUUCAUCUCCGGGGGUAGAGCACUGUUUCGGCUAGGGGGCCAUCCCGGCUUACCAACCCGAUGCAAACUGCGAAUACCGGAGAAUGUUAUCACGGGAGACACACGGCGGGUGCUAACGUCCGUCGUGAAGAGGGAAACAACCCAGACCGCCAGCUAAGGUCCCAAAGUCAUGGUUAAGUGGGAAACGAUGUGGGAAGGCCCAGACAGCCAGGAUGUUGGCUUAGAAGCAGCCAUCAUUUAAAGAAAGCGUAAUAGCUCACUGGUCGAGUCGGCCUGCGCGGAAGAUGUAACGGGGCUAAACCAU
This 668-nucleotide ribosomal RNA is filed under the name Salmonella enterica. Its description in RNAcentral is "partial 23S ribosomal RNA". It matches the Rfam family "Bacterial large subunit ribosomal RNA", at positions 566 to 1190 of the family's 2925-position model. Lineage: Bacteria; Pseudomonadati; Pseudomonadota; Gammaproteobacteria; Enterobacterales; Enterobacteriaceae. RNAcentral also lists the same sequence under 1 other name. The record is from RNAcentral.